Molecule: small nuclear RNA, 111 nt
Organism: Camelus dromedarius (Arabian camel)
Lineage: Eukaryota; Metazoa; Chordata; Mammalia; Artiodactyla; Camelidae
Source: Ensembl
GUGCUGACUUCAGUAGCACAUAGACUAAAAUUGGAAUGAUACAGGGAGGAUCAGCAUGGCCCCUGGGCAAGGAUGACACAAAUGUGUGAAGCAUUAAAAUAAUAAUAUUUU